This 410-nucleotide ribosomal RNA is filed under the name uncultured organism. RNAcentral's name for it is "bacterial SSU rRNA". It matches the Rfam family "Bacterial small subunit ribosomal RNA", at positions 355 to 775 of the family's 1533-position model. The record is from RNAcentral.
UGGGGAAUAUUGGACAAUGGGCGAAAGCCUGACCGAGCAACGCCGUGUGCGGGAUGAAGGCCCUUGGGUUGUAAACCGCUGUCAGGGGGGAUGAAAGCGCAAGCUUGACAGAGCCCCAGAGGAAGCACGGGCUAAGUUCGUGCCAGCAGCCGCGGUAAUACGAACUGUGCGAACGUUAUUCGGAAUCACUGGGCUUACAGGGUGCGUAGGCGGCGGUGCAAGUCAGGUGUGAAAUCCCACAGCUCAACUGUGGAACUGCGCUUGAAACUGCAUUGCUUGAGAGAGCUAGAGGUAUGCGGAACUUCCGGUGGAGCGGUGAAAUGUGUUGAUAUCGGAAGGAACACCAGAGGCGAAGGCGGCAUACUGGGGCUUAUCUGACGCUGAGGCACGAAAGCCAGGGGAGCAGACGG